GUGAGGAAUAUUGGUCAAUGGGCGAGAGCCUGAACCAGCCAAGUCGCGUGAAGGAAGAAGGAUCUAUGGUUCGUAAACUUCUUUUGCAGGGGAAUAAAGUGCGGGACGUGUCCUGUUUUGUAUGUACCCUGAGAAUAAGGAUCGGCUAACUCCGUGCCAGCAGCCGCGGUAAUACGGAGGAUCCGAGCGUUAUCCGGAUUUAUUGGGUUUAAAGGGUGCGUAGGUGGUUUGAUAAGUCAGCGGUGAAAGUUUGCAGCUUAACUGUAAAAAUGCCGUUGAAACUGUCGGACUUGAGUGUAAAUGAGGUAGGCGGAAUGCGUGGUGUAGCGGUGAAAUGCAUAGAUAUCACGCAGAACUCCGAUUGCGAAGGCAGCUUACUAAGCUACAACUGACACUGAAGCACGAAAGCGUGGAGAUCAAACAGGAUUAGAUACCCUGGUAGUCC
Molecule: ribosomal RNA, 445 nt
Filed under: uncultured bacterium
Lineage: Bacteria
Description: partial 16S ribosomal RNA
Rfam family: Bacterial small subunit ribosomal RNA
Source: RNAcentral